UCGAUUGUCCCAGCCGCCGCGGUAAUACGUAGGGUGCAAGCGUUAUCCGGAAUUAUUGGGCGUAAAGGGCUCGUAGGCGGUUCGUCGCGUCCGGCGUGAAAGUCCAUCGCUUAACGGUGGAUCCGCGCCGGGUACGGGCGGGCUUGAGUGCGGUAGGGGAGACUGGAAUUCCCGGUGUAACGGUGGAAUGUGUAGAUAUCGGGAAGAACACCAAUGGCGAAGGCAGGUCUCUGGGCCGUUACUGACGCUGAGGAGCGAAAGCGUGGGGAGCGAACAGGAUUAGAUACCCUGGUAGUCCACGCCGUAAACGGUGGAUGCUGGAUGUGGGGCCCGUUCCACGGGUUCCGUGUCGGAGCUAACGCGUUAAGCAUCCCGCCUGGGGAGUACGGCCGCAAGGCUAAAACUCAAAGAAAUUGACGGGGGCCCGCACAAGCGGCGGAGCAUGCGGAUUAAUUCGAUGCAACGCGAAGGACCUUACCUGGGCUUGACAUGUUCCCGACGAUCCCAGAGAUGGGGUUUCCCUUCGGGGCGGGUUCACAGGUGGUGCAUGGUCGUCGUCAGCUCGUGUCGUGAGAUGUUUGGGUUAAGUCCCGCAACGAGCGCAACCCUCGCCCCGUGUUGCCAGCGGAUUGUGCCGGGAACUCACGGGGGACCGCCGGGGUUAACUCGGAGGAAGGUGGGGAUGACGUCAGAUCAUCAUGCCCCUUACGUCCAGGGCUUCACGCAUGCUACAAUGGCCGGUACAACGGGAUGCGACGCGGCGACGCGGAGCGGAUCCCUGAAAACCGGUCUCAGUUCGGAUCGCAGUCUGCAACUCGACUGCGUGAAGGCGGAGUCGCUAGUAAUCGCGAAUCAGCAACGUCGCGGUGAAUGCGUUCCCGGGCCUUGUACACACCGCCCGUCAAGUCAUGAAAGUGGGCAGCACCCGAAGCCGGUGGCCUAACCCCUUGUGGGAUGGAGCCGUCUAAGGUGAGGCUCGUGAUUGGGACUAAGUCGUAA
RNAcentral lists this ribosomal RNA (999 nucleotides) under uncultured Bifidobacterium sp. RNAcentral's name for it is "bacterial SSU rRNA". It matches the Rfam family "Bacterial small subunit ribosomal RNA", at positions 497 to 1491 of the family's 1533-position model. Lineage: Bacteria; Bacillati; Actinomycetota; Actinomycetes; Bifidobacteriales; Bifidobacteriaceae. The record is from RNAcentral.